GAAGUCGGUGGGGUAACCUUUUUGGAGCCAGCCGCCUAAGGUGGGACAGAUGAUUGGGGUGAAGUCGUAACAAGGUAGCCGUAUCGGAAGGUGCGGCUGGAUCACCUCCUUUCUAUGGAGA
This 121-nucleotide ribosomal RNA is filed under the name Bacillus cereus. RNAcentral describes it as "partial 16S ribosomal RNA". It matches the Rfam family "Bacterial small subunit ribosomal RNA", at positions 1423 to 1533 of the family's 1533-position model. The record is from RNAcentral. Lineage: Bacteria; Bacillati; Bacillota; Bacilli; Caryophanales; Bacillaceae. RNAcentral also lists the same sequence under 9 other names.